AUCCUCGGCUGGGGAGAUGGUUACUACAAAGGAGAGGAAGAUAAAGAGAAGAAGAAGAACAACACCAACACGGCGGAGCAAGAGCAUCGGAAAAGAGUAAUACGUGAGCUUAACUCGUUAA
Molecule: small RNA, 121 nt
Filed under: Arabidopsis thaliana (thale cress)
Lineage: Eukaryota; Viridiplantae; Streptophyta; Magnoliopsida; Brassicales; Brassicaceae
Description: ATSL292050
Source: RNAcentral